This is a long non-coding RNA of Nycticebus coucang (slow loris), 4264 nucleotides long. RefSeq lists it as uncharacterized. The transcript has 3 exons. NCBI's taxonomy places the organism in Eukaryota, Metazoa, Chordata, Mammalia, Primates, Lorisidae. The record is from RefSeq and is a predicted model, not a curated record.
GCCGGGUGCCCCAAGAGUUUGAGGUUGCUGUGAGCUGUGAUGCCACGGCACUCUGCCCAGGGCAACAUAGUGAGACUCUGUCUCAAUAAAUUAAAUAAAUAUAAAUAAAAUAAGAGAUUCCUGGCCUCAGAAUACUUAGGUUGAGUCAGGUAUGGCCUGGACAGGCAUUGCUUAGUUGCUAGGGUUAGAAGCCUAUCCCAGAAACUCAAGUAAAAUAGAGGUUAUCUUAAGAAUACUCAAAGGCACUUGCUCUGUGGAACUAACUCUCAGCCUCCUUCUAUUCAUCUGCCCUCUUUCUUCUGCAGGACUCAGUGUCCACACUGCAAAGCUGUGUCGUUUCUGCUGCUAUUUGUGUUGUUUAGAUGCAUCACCAGCCCCUGCGGAAGUACCAACAUGCACCGCAGUGAUGGUUCAAGAAGUUUUGCAAAGGACACAGGUGCCUUGAAGAUGAGGAGCACAGUGGCUGGCCAUCAGGAGGAGACGACAACCGGUGGAGAGCAAACGUGGAAGCUGGUCCUCUGACAGCUCCAUGCAAAACUGCUCAGGGUCGACGUUCUGUGGCUGCUCGGCAUCCGAAGCAAAUUGGAAGGGCGAAAAAGCUCGCAACAAACCAUUUCUUGAUCAGAUUGUGACGUGUUAUGAAAAGUGGAUUUUAUAUGACAACUGGCAGUGACCAGCUCAGUGGUUGGACCGAGAAGAACCUCCAAAACACUUCCCAAACCCAAAUUUGCACAAAAAAAAGGUCAUGGCCACUGGGUCCUGGUCUACUAUGGUCUGAUCCACUACCGCUUUCUCAUUCCUGGUGAAACCAUCACAACUGAGAAGUCUGCUCAGCAAACCAAUGAGGGGCACCAAAAACUGCAAUGCCUGCAGCCGGCAUCAGUGAACAGAGGGGGCCCACGACAGCUCCUGACCACACUUCGUAAGUUGAAUAAAUUGGGCUAUCAAGUGUUGCCUCAUUCACCUGACAUUGUGCCAACCCACUAUCACUUCAAGCAUCUUGACAAUUUUUUGCAGGGAAAAUGCUUCCACAACCAGCAGGAAGCAAAAAUGCUUUCCGAGAGUUUGUUGAAUCCUGAAGUACAGUUUUUCCACUACAGGAAGAAACGAACUUAUUUCUGAUUAACAACAGUGUUUUGAUUUUGAUUCAUAAAGAUGUUUGAGGAUAGUUACAAUGAUUUAAAAUUCAUGGUCCCAAACCUCAAUUACUUUUGCACCAACCUAAUAACUUGCCAAUAAGUGACUUUUAAAGUUCUUUUAAUAUUAGACAAUGCCCCCAGGUACCCAGAACGCCAGGAGUUUAACACUGAAGGAGUCAAAGCGGUCUACUUGCCCCCAAACACAUCUCUAAUUCAGCCUCUAGAUCAGAGUUAUAAGGACCUUCAGGGCUCAUUACACACAGUACUCUGUGGAAAGGGUUUUCAACGCUUAGAAGAGAGCCCCAGUAGAGAACAUCAUGCAAAUCUGGAAGGAUUACUUAUUAAAGAUGCCAUGAUUAUAAGGAAAAAAAAUCCACGAAAGCCUUCAAGCCAAAAUAAUAAAUUUCUACUAGAGAAAAAUGUGUCCAGAUGACUUUACAGGAUUUAUGACAGAAACUGAUCAAGAGAAUCAUGAAAGAGAUUGUGGGUAUAACUCAAAAAAGGGAGUGAAAAGUCUCAAGACAUAGAUCUUGGGGAAAUUCAAGAGCUAACAGACCCCGCAGCAGAGGGCCUUAACAGGUGACGUGACGGAGACAAGCGCUUCAUGGGAGAAGCAGGAACGGGGACCACGUUGAGGCGGACAGUCUGGCAGCAAGGUUCUCUUCGUUCAAGGCUGCUUUCAGCUUCUUUUAUGACAACAUGGACUCUGCACAAUGUGAACACAAGAAAUAAUGGAAGAAAGACUGGUACCUUAGAGAAAUAUUUGUAAAGUAACGUAAAAGAAAAAAGACAAAUUACAAUAUAUUUCCGGAAGGUCCUGCCGACUGCGCCUCUCCCUCCUGGCCCCCUUCCCACUCCUCCCCCUCAUCUGCCUGUGCCCUGACCCCUGGGGCCAGAAGACCAAAGCCUGCUCUUCCUCAGCCCACUGAACAUGGAGACAGCGAGGACAGAGCUUUCUGAUGACCCACUGUCACUUAAUAAACACUAAAUAUAUUUUCCCUUUGAUUUUCUUAACAUUUUUUUCUAGCUUACUUUAUUGUAAGAAUACAGUAUAUAAUACACAUACCGUAUAAAAUAUGUGUUAAUCAGCUGUCUGUUUGAUCAGUAAGGCUUUCAGGCAACAGUAGGCUAUUGGUAGCUAAGUUUGGGGGAAGUUAAAUUAUGUGAAUUUUUGACUGGGGAUCAGUGCUGCUAAUCUCCAACUUGUUCCAGGGACAACUAUAAAUCAGAAUCUUUGGGGAUAAAACCCAGGCCUCAAUAUUUUUAAAGCUCUUUAGUUGAUACCAAUCUUGCUCCUAGUUUGAAAACCCCUGCGUUAUAUUAUUUUAGACCAUUAACAUAUUUUCUUCAAUAUUGUGUGCAUAUAUAGGAAUAUGUUAUGCAAAUAUAAAAUAAAUAUCUAGUUAAACAUAAUUCCUUUCCUAAAUAUAUAGUAAAUAAUUCUUAGGCCCAGGACUCAGAUCAGGCAUGCAAAAUUAUAUUUAUUUUUGGUUUAUUAUAGUUUGAUUUAAUUUCUAUUUCCAGCCUCUAUUCACAAAGAUAGAAGAAAUAUAAUCUUACUCAAUUCAAUUUUAUUUCAAUUCUGGGCUUGCAUAGGAAAUAUUUUUUAAAUCUCUCUUAUGUUACUUAUUAGAAAGAAGAGAUAAAUGUGUUUGGUCAUUAUAUUUAAACCAAGACAUGUCUUAAAUAAAUAAUUGAUUUUAAAGCAAGGUCAUCAACAUUUUGUUUUCCCUUUUAUCUUUCUUUAUGAAGCCCAGAAAUGGGAUGUCAUUAAUUCAGACAUAACAUACAUAUUCUGUCUCUUGUAAGACAUAUUUGUUCGUUUGUCUUGCGUAGACUGUAUCACCUCCCUGGAAAGGAGAAUGGCAUUUACGCAUAGAUAGUGCUCAGUGCUGCAUCUGACACCUAAGACAUUUUUAAAAAUUGAAUUUCUGUAUAUUUUGGUCUAGAUAACAGAACAGAUAUUCACAGCCUAGUCUUGGCUCAAGGUAGACAUAAUCGCAUGCUUUCACAGGCAGCACACACACCCACGUGCACGCACACACUUGUUCUCUCUCGCACACGCCUGCUGAUGUGCACGCAAAUAGGCACAGUCUUUUUCUCAGCUAUCCCACAUUGCUGCCGUGAAUGAAGAUCUUACCGCCCAGGUUGCUUCUCCAUGAUCCAAGAGUUGGCAUGAUGUCACGGCUGCACUAGCUGCUCUCUAAGAAAGGGCAGUGAGAAAGGACCCUGCCCCAGCCCCACGCCCCACCCCUGAUCUCCAGGCAGAUGACGAAAUUAUACUUGGCAGGGCAAGGAACCAAACUGAGCUCUUUGCCUUUCCAUCCAGCAACUCAUGCGGCUUUGGUGUCUAUAACAUGUUUAGAACAGCAAGGAUAAAGCUCCCUGUCAUCUUAGGAAAAUGGAUAGGUGCUGAAUAUAUUUUUAAUUCACGCUGAGGCAUUCUCAGGGGAUUUACCAGUUAAACCCCAAGCAUCGCUGGGCCGGAGCUCCGCUGACCACCUACCUUGGGAGAAUGUUCUGAUAUCACAGAAAAUUUGUGUUAUUGCUGCAUUGUUUCACUCAUACUGCAUCUAAGGGACCUAAAUGAUUUGUUCCCAAAAAAUGUAAUUCCUGAAUUUAAUGAUUCUGUGACUAUCUAGAUUGACUUUUCAGAUCUAUAAAUGUACUUUUUAAAUAACGUUAUAGUCCACUUAAAAGCAUUUUUAAGUUAUGUCCUGGUGAAGUUGGAUAGACCGGCUGGUAGGCCCUCUCUCUGUGUGUUCUUUACACUUGGGGCAAAGAAAUGUAGGCUUUGUGCUACGUUUCCUGCAGGAGAGCAGCUUCUGGCAUGGCUCCCCUCCUGGGGGCCCUCCAAGAACACAGAAUCAGACAGCCUCCAUCAGAUCACACACAUUUCCAUGCUCGCCUUCCCUUCAUUUCCCAAACGAUACGUAUUUGUUCCUAAGGAGAAAUGUUUACAAUUGAAUGGAUUUUAUCGGUAUAUUGUUUACUCUUCCUCUUUAAUACUGAUUGUGUAUAAGUCUCACCAUGUCAGUUGAUAGAUACUAUUUACCAUUGACUACAUUCACGUUGUUUUUGCCUCACUUUGCCUCUGUGGACAAAAUGUAUUUAAUUUCACAUAA